This 378-nucleotide long non-coding RNA is filed under the name Salmo salar (Atlantic salmon). Its description in RNAcentral is "lncRNA (ENSSSAG00000094245.1)". Lineage: Eukaryota; Metazoa; Chordata; Actinopteri; Salmoniformes; Salmonidae. The record is from RNAcentral.
GUUCAUUCUCUCUCAAUUGCGGUCUGUAUUGAUCGCGUUUGUAACGACAUGUCACUUUGUCCAUCCCACCUAUGACUCAGAACAUGUUCCAAGAGCGGAUGUACCAUGUUUUCUUUAAGGACUGGCCCUCGAGCCACCCACUCACUAUAACCACCAAUCAGGAAGGAUUCAAAGAUGGGUGGAUUGGAUGCUUGUUUGGGACAGUUGUGGGGUGAGAUGAGGAAAACAAAAAACAACCCCUGUGGUUCCUAAUUACUUCUCUGUGAUCGAAAACUGUUAUUAAUCAGUUAUUACUGUGUUAUCAUUUUACCAUGUAGUUUCAUAGUAAAUACCUGGUAAUUUCUGUACCAUUAAAUAAAGUUGUACCCAAACCCUCCA